Molecule: transfer RNA, 81 nt
Filed under: Paragonimus westermani
Lineage: Eukaryota; Metazoa; Platyhelminthes; Trematoda; Plagiorchiida; Troglotrematidae
Description: tRNA-Leu
Rfam family: tRNA
About the family: Transfer RNA (tRNA) molecules are approximately 80 nucleotides in length.
Source: RNAcentral
GGUUUCGUGGUUCAACUGGUGGAACGCUUGUCGCGUUUAGGCACGCUGUUUCUGUCGUUGGUUCAAAUCCAACCAAAACCA